This 443-nucleotide ribosomal RNA is filed under the name uncultured prokaryote. RNAcentral's name for it is "bacterial SSU rRNA". It matches the Rfam family "Bacterial small subunit ribosomal RNA", at positions 355 to 796 of the family's 1533-position model. The record is from RNAcentral.
UAGGGAAUAUUGGUCAAUGGGCGAGAGCCUGAACCAGCCAUGCCGCGUGCAGGACGACGGCCUUCUGGGUUGUAAACUGCUUUUAUACAGGAAUAAAAGGGUGCUGCGGCGCCGAUUGCAUGUACUGUAUGAAUAAGCACCGGCUAACUCCGUGCCAGCAGCCGCGGUAAUACGGAGGGUGCGAGCGUUGUCCGGAUUUAUUGGGUUUAAAGGGUGCGUAGGCGGUUUAUUAAGUCAGUGGUGAAAGGCUACAGCUCAACUGUAGGAGUGCCAUUGAUACUGGUAGACUUGAGUUUGGUCGAGGUAGGCGGAAUUUAUGGUGUAGCGGUGAAAUGCAUAGAUACCAUAAAGAACACCGAUAGUGAAGACAGCUUACUAGGCCUGGACUGACACUGAGGCACGAAAGCGUGGGGAGCGAACAGGAUUAGAUACCCGUGUAGUCC